UGGUAACUCCGUGCCAGCAGCCGCGUAAAUACGGAGGGUCCAAGCUUUUGCCGGAAUCAUUGGGUUUAAAGGGUCCGUAGGCUGCCUUAUAAGUCAGCGGUGAAAGUUUUUGGCUUAACCAAAAAAUUGCCAUUGAUACUGUAGGGCUUGAAUAUUUGUGAAGUAACUAGAAUAUGUAGUGUAGCGGUGAAAUGCUUAGAUAUUACAUGGAAUACCAAUUGCGAAGGCAGGUUACUAACAAAUGAUUGACGCUGAUGGACGAAAGCGUGGGUAGCGAACAGGAUUAGAUACCCGUGUAGC
Molecule: ribosomal RNA, 300 nt
Filed under: uncultured Helicobacter sp.
Lineage: Bacteria; Pseudomonadati; Campylobacterota; Epsilonproteobacteria; Campylobacterales; Helicobacteraceae
Description: bacterial SSU rRNA
Rfam family: Bacterial small subunit ribosomal RNA
Source: RNAcentral